This 493-nucleotide unclassified non-coding RNA is filed under the name Hevea brasiliensis (rubber tree). Lineage: Eukaryota; Viridiplantae; Streptophyta; Magnoliopsida; Malpighiales; Euphorbiaceae. The record is from RNAcentral.
AAAUUGUUCGAGUACUAGCUAGAGGUAUUAAUCUAGUAACUGAAAGGCAAUAUCCAUCUGUCCAUUCUGUUUCAUCUCUUUUUUCUUGAACAAGAGAAAAUAGUCUUUGCGUUUCACUACAACAAGUGCAGGAAAUGUUGGACAUUAUUUUUACUUAAGAAAACUUUUUUUCCCACAAUCUGUUGUUCAUUCUGAUAACUGGUUUUGGUGUGAAUGUCAUGGGAUCUGGUAGACAUCUUUGCACAUGAAUACAUAACAUAUGUGCAUAUUUUAAGUGCAUGAAUAGAGCAAACACACACACACACACAUACAGAACACAUGUGCAUAUUUUAAGUAUAUGAAUAGAACAAACACACACACAGAGAACAACUUACAUUCCCAUUUACAUAACUCUAUUGUCAACAACAAACUAUAAAUAUCCCUAUUUGCCUGUAGAUUUUAAAAAUCCCCACCAAACGAAGAUUAUCCUCACCAACUCAACUCAACUCAACUA